GGUGUAUUUAUUAGAUAAAAAACCAAUGCCCUUCGGGGCUCUUUGGUGAUUCAUGAUAACUCAACGAAUCGCAUGGCCUUGCGCCGGCGAUGGUUCAUUCAAAUUUCUGCCCUAUCAACUUUCGAUGGUAGGAUAGUGGCCUACCAUGGUUUCGACGGGUACCGGUAAGCAUCUUCCCCCCUCUCCCUUUUCCAGCCUCACUCGGGCGGUUUUACUUGGCGGUGGAAGUACUAACAUAUCAUUCUUUUCAUAGGGGAAUUAGGGUUCGAUUCCGGAGAGGGAGCCUGAGAAACGUAAGUUAAAACCCCCCUCCCCGGGCUCAGUCUCGUGUUGGAUGAGGCGCUGACUUUUUGACAACAGGGCUACCACAUCCAAGGAAGGCAGCAGGCGCGCAAAUUACCCAAUCCCGAUACGGGGAGGUAGUAAGUGGUCCCUUUUCUCUCUCAAAACCAUUCACCAACUGACCAAACUAGGUGACAAUAAAUACUGAUCCAGGGCUCUUUUGGGUCUUGUAAUUGGAAUGAGUACAAUUUAAAUACCUUAACGAGGAACAAUUGGAGGGCAAGUCUGGUGCCAGCAGCCGCGGUAAUUCCAGCUCCAAUAGCGUAUAUUAAAGUUGUUGCAGUUAAAAAGCUCGUAGUUGAAAUUUGGGCCUGGCUGGUCGGUCCGCCUCACCGCGUGCACUGAGUCGGCCGGGCCUUUUCUCCUGGGGAGCCUCAUGCCCUUUACUGGGCGUGUUGGGGAACCAGGACUUUUACUUUGAAAAAAUUAGAGUGUUCAAAGCAGGCCUUUGCUCGGAUACAUUAGCAUGGAAUAAUAAAAUAGGACGUGCA
Molecule: ribosomal RNA, 833 nt
Filed under: Phyllobathelium anomalum
Lineage: Eukaryota; Fungi; Ascomycota; Dothideomycetes; Strigulales; Strigulaceae
Description: partial 18S small subunit ribosomal RNA
Rfam family: Eukaryotic small subunit ribosomal RNA
Source: RNAcentral